Polistes canadensis is the source of this 399-nucleotide long non-coding RNA. RefSeq lists it as uncharacterized. The transcript is spliced from 3 exons. NCBI's taxonomy places the organism in Eukaryota, Metazoa, Arthropoda, Insecta, Hymenoptera, Vespidae. The record is from RefSeq and is a predicted model, not a curated record.
AUCGCGAUGCAUCGUAGCAAAUUAUUCGUAUCACGGUGGAACUAAUACCAAUGGUUUUAUAUGAGAUUAUACGAUGUCCGGUAUUCAUUCUCAAGUUGUAAUCGAGGUAAAUUCAAUUAACAUUUCUUCCUGUGAUAAAGAGAACUUUGAUUAAUCAGCAUGAUCGGUCGACAAACGACUGGGAUAAAUCGAAAUGAAAUAAAUAAUUGAGACUGCGGUGGAAUUAUUGAAAACACAUUUCACACACAACACGUAUGUAAAAUAAAAUAUUUUUCUGUAGAAUAAUGUUGGUGAUGUUGAAAUGGAAAACGUUAAGGAUUGAUACAAUGCAAAGCAUUCUCCGAUUCUAAUUGAAAAUAAAUAUAUGGAAAAUAUGAGAUACAAAUUUUAUGAUGUAUU